UGGGGAAUAUUGCACAAUGGGCGCAAGCCUGAUGCAGCCAUGCCGCGUGUGUGAAGAAGGCCUUCGGGUUGUAAAGCACUUUCAGCGGGGAGGAAGGGAGUAAAGUUAAUACCUUUGCUCAUUGACGUUACCCGCAGAAGAAGCACCGGCUAACUCCGUGCCAGCAGCCGCGGUAAUACGGAGGGUGCAAGCGUUAAUCGGAAUUACUGGGCGUAAAGCGCACGCAGGCGGUCUGUCAAGUCGGAUGUGAAAUCCCCGGGCUCAACCUGGGAACUGCAUUCGAAACUGGCAGGCUAGAGUCUUGUAGAGGGGGGUAGAAUUCCAGGUGUAGCGGUGAAAUGCGUAGAGAUCUGGAGGAAUACCGGUGGCGAAGGCGGCCCCCUGGACAAAGACUGACGCUCAGGUGCGAAAGCGUGGGGAGCAAACAGG
Molecule: ribosomal RNA, 429 nt
Filed under: Chloroflexota bacterium
Lineage: Bacteria; Bacillati; Chloroflexota
Description: Chloroflexi bacterium partial 16S ribosomal RNA
Rfam family: Bacterial small subunit ribosomal RNA
Source: RNAcentral